UGUCUUAGUUUUACAUUGAUGGCCAGGAAGUACUUGUCUCCACAAUCAUAAUAGGGCUUGGAUUGGAAUACGGAAUUUGUGUUGUUCUGAACAGUAGGUUUGAUAAGGUUAGUAUUGGAAUUUUGGUUAACAGAAGAAGUACUUCCAAUAGAAAUUGGUUUACUAGUAAUAGGAGCAGAAUUUAUUUACUGGUCAGAUCUGGAUUUUGCGGUUUAAGGGGGUAAGGAAACAUUUGAGUAGGUUUGGAAUAAGAAUUAUAAGGAGUCAAAUUGGAAGACAUAAAUCUGGGGUUGGAAUUGAAGGUUCUAUUCUUUUUGGUAUCCCAUAACUGUUCUUGCAGCUUAGCAAUCUCUAUUGCAUCAACUA
This 366-nucleotide unclassified non-coding RNA is filed under the name Hevea brasiliensis (rubber tree). The record is from RNAcentral. Lineage: Eukaryota; Viridiplantae; Streptophyta; Magnoliopsida; Malpighiales; Euphorbiaceae.